CAAUUGCUAAUAUGUACUUCAUCCGGAGAUAUUACAGCGAAACAACCUUGUAACAUUUGUGCUGCAGCAUGUUUACAAGCUGCAUGCACUUCAUCUGGAGAUAUUAUAGCAACUUCAUGUGCUGCGUGCACUUUAACCAAAAAUAUCAUAGUAGCAUGGUAGGCCAAUUUUCAAAAUGUCUAUGCAACAACUUAGAUUUGACCACCAAGAUGAUUCCUUACAAAAUUGCUUUAGUCAUCAAGCUGCCAAAUGAUUUUAUCGGCUCUCUAAGAGACCAGCUCGUGAAUAGAGAUGGUGUAUCUAAGAUCAUUAAGCAUCUCUUCCCAAUCGAAGAUAUCUUCUAAAGACAAGCCUCCAAGAGCUGCACCAGCUAGCUCCUCUACUCUGGCUCUUGAAGCCCCAUCAACAACACCAUCAAGGGUCAGAUUUUUUUUCCUUUUUAACUCCAAAAGUAAUUAGUAAGGUAACAUUUUUCUAAAGUUGGUUUGAGAGUUGAGAGCAUAAAGCAUAAAAUUUGGUUAUCUGAUUGUUUCUUUGAUUAAUGACUUCCAGCAUCCUAUUUAAAUUGCCAGCCAUAUAACUUAUUUCAUUGCUCUAAAAAUGUCAAAGGUACAGUUUUUUUUUUUAGUUUUUUUUCUUUAUUAGAAACCUAAACCACGAUUUUAACAGCAGAAGCAAUAUGUUGUGUCAAAGGUACUUUUUUUUAGGAAGAAGUUCUUAGCUUCUUCUUUAUUGCUCUAAAAAUGUAAUAUAUUUAUUAGUUUGAAUAGGUGAUAAAACAGUGAAUCUGUCUCGGGUGGCUCUGCUGCAUCUGUAUCAACCAGGCAAUGUGUUGUGUCACCUGGGAGUGAUACUUGUGGAAGCGUGAGGCAGACAUCAUUAUUUUGCGGCCUAGUUGGCUUGAAGCCUGAUUGCGCGUAGAAACUGUUUGAUAAAAUGCUUAAGAAAAGCUAGUGUCUAUUGGUGCCUGACUUUGUUCAGCUCAGAAACUUGACAUAUUAAGUUGGCAAUUUUUUAUAAGAAAAAUUUUUUAGGCUUUCA
This is a long non-coding RNA of Gossypium arboreum, 1041 nucleotides long. RefSeq lists it as uncharacterized. The transcript is spliced from 2 exons. Lineage: Eukaryota; Viridiplantae; Streptophyta; Magnoliopsida; Malvales; Malvaceae. The record is from RefSeq and is a predicted model, not a curated record.